Molecule: small nuclear RNA, 102 nt
Organism: Arvicanthis niloticus (Nile rat)
Lineage: Eukaryota; Metazoa; Chordata; Mammalia; Rodentia; Muridae
Source: RefSeq, a predicted model, not a curated record
GUGCUCACUUCAGCACAAACAAAAUUGGAACAACACAGGGAAAAUUAGCUUGACCCCCUGUACAAGGAUGACAAGUAGAUUCAUGAAGCAUUUCUUAAUUUU